RNAcentral lists this ribosomal RNA (580 nucleotides) under Enterococcus faecalis. RNAcentral's name for it is "bacterial SSU rRNA". It matches the Rfam family "Bacterial small subunit ribosomal RNA", at positions 74 to 640 of the family's 1533-position model. Lineage: Bacteria; Bacillati; Bacillota; Bacilli; Lactobacillales; Enterococcaceae. The record is from RNAcentral.
UGCACUCAAUUGGAAAGAGGAGUGGCGGACGGGUGAGUAACACGUGGGUAACCUACCCAUCAGAGGGGGAUAACACUUGGAAACAGGUGCUAAUACCGCAUAACAGUUUAUGCCGCAUGGCAUAAGAGUGAAAGGCGCUUUCGGGUGUCGCUGAUGGAUGGACCCGCGGUGCAUUAGCUAGUUGGUGAGGUAACGGCUCACCAAGGCCACGAUGCAUAGCCGACCUGAGAGGGUGAUCGGCCACACUGGGACUGAGACACGGCCCAGACUCCUACGGGAGGCAGCAGUAGGGAAUCUUCGGCAAUGGACGAAAGUCUGACCGAGCAACGCCGCGUGAGUGAAGAAGGUUUUCGGAUCGUAAAACUCUGUUGUUAGAGAAGAACAAGGACGUUAGUAACUGAACGUCCCCUGACGGUAUCUAACCAGAAAGCCACGGCUAACUACGUGCCAGCAGCCGCGGUAAUACGUAGGUGGCAAGCGUUGUCCGGAUUUAUUGGGCGUAAAGCGAGCGCAGGCGGUUUCUUAAGUCUGAUGUGAAAGCCCCCGGCUCAACCGGGGAGGGUCAUUGGAAACUGGGAGA